GAUGAACGCUGGCGGCGCGCCUAACACAUGCAAGUCGAACGAAGCUUGACGGAUGAUUUCUUCGGAAUGAAACCAGAUAUGACUUAGUGGCGGACGGGUGAGUAACUCGUGAGCAACCUGCCUUUCAGAGGGGGAUAACGGCUGGAAACGGUCGCUAAUACCGCAUGAUGUGUUCGGUGGGCAUCAUCUGAACAUCAAAGAUUUAUCGCUGAAAGAUGGGCUCGCGUCUGAUUAGAUAGUUGGUGGGGUAACGGCCUACCAAGCCUACGAUCAGUAGCCGGACUGAGAGGUUGAACGGCCACAUUGGGACUGAGAUACGGCCCAGACUCCUACGGGAGGCAGCAGUGGGGAAUAUUGCACAAUGGGGGAAACCCUGAUGCAGCAACGCCGCGUGAAGGAUGACGGUUUUCGGAUUGUAAACUUCUUUUCUUAGAGGCGAAGACAGUGACGGUAGCUAAGGAAUAAGCAUCGGCUAACUACGUG
RNAcentral lists this ribosomal RNA (483 nucleotides) under uncultured bacterium. Its description in RNAcentral is "partial 16S ribosomal RNA". It matches the Rfam family "Bacterial small subunit ribosomal RNA", at positions 28 to 507 of the family's 1533-position model. The record is from RNAcentral.